Molecule: ribosomal RNA, 434 nt
Filed under: uncultured bacterium
Lineage: Bacteria
Description: partial 16S ribosomal RNA
Rfam family: Bacterial small subunit ribosomal RNA
Source: RNAcentral
AGCGAACGCUGGCGGCAGGCCUAACACAUGCAAGUCGAACGAACCUUUCGGGGUUAGUGGCGGACGGGUGAGUAACACGUGGGAACGUGCCUUUAGGUUCGGAAUAACUCAGGGAAACUUGUGCUAAUACCGAAUGUGCCCUUCGGGGGAAAGAUUUAUCGCCUUUAGAGCGGCCCGCGUCUGAUUAGCUAGUUGGUUGAGGUAAUGGCUCACCAAGGCGGCGAUCAGUAGCUGGUCUGAGAGGAUGAUCAGCCACAUUGGGACUGAGACACGGCCCAAACUCCUACGGGAGGCAGCAGUGGGGAAUCUUGAGCAAUGGGCGAAAGCCUGACGCAGCCAUGCCGCGUGAAUGAUGAAGGUCUUAGGAUUGUAAAAUUCUUUCACCGGGGACGAUAAUGACGGUACCCGGAGAAGAAGCCCCGGCUAACUUCGUG